CACACGACUCUCGGCAACGGAUAUCUCGGCUCUCGCAUCGAUGAAGAACGUAGCGAAAUGCGAUACCUGGUGUGAAUUGCAGAAUCCCGCGAACCAUCGAGUCUUUGAACGCAAGUUGGCGCCCGAGGCCAUUCGGCCGAGGGCACGCCUGCCUGGGCGUCACGC
RNAcentral lists this ribosomal RNA (165 nucleotides) under Helictotrichon filifolium. Its description in RNAcentral is "5.8S ribosomal RNA". It matches the Rfam family "5.8S ribosomal RNA". Rfam says of the family: 5.8S ribosomal RNA (5.8S rRNA) is a component of the large subunit of the eukaryotic ribosome. It is transcribed by RNA polymerase I as part of the 45S precursor that also contains 18S and 28S rRNA. Lineage: Eukaryota; Viridiplantae; Streptophyta; Magnoliopsida; Poales; Poaceae. The record is from RNAcentral.